AUGUACAUUCCUACAACAUAGAGUUAAUGCAUUGGAUCCCAUUACAACUCCUCACUUAAGUACACUCAGGCUAGAGUAGUAUUGGGAUGGGUGACUUCCCGAGAAUUCCUAUUGUUUUACAUG
Non-coding RNA from Picea glauca (white spruce), 123 nucleotides. NCBI's taxonomy places the organism in Eukaryota, Viridiplantae, Streptophyta, Pinopsida, Pinales, Pinaceae. The record is from Rfam.